GACGAACGCUGGCGGCGUGCUUAACACAUGCAAGUCGAACGGAAAGGCCCUGCUUUUGUGGGGUGCUCGAGUGGCGAACGGGUGAGUAACACGUGAGUAACCUGCCCUUGACGUUGGGAUAACUUCAGGAAACUGGGGCUAAUACCGGAUAGGAGCUCCCGCUGCAUGGUGGGGGUGGGACAGUUUCGGCGGUUGGGGAUGGACUCGCGGCUGAUCAGCUUGUUGGUGGGGUAGUGGCUUACCAAGGCCUUGACGGGUAGCCGGCCUGAGAGGGUGACCGGCCACAUUGGAACUGAGAUACGGCCCAGACUCCAACGGGAGGCAGCGGUGGGGAAUAUUGCACAAUGGGCGGAAGCCUGGUGCAGCAACGCCGCGUGCGGGAUGACGGCCUUGGGGUUGUAAACCGCUUUCGCCUGUGACGAAGCGUGAGUGACGGUAAUGGGUAAAGAAGCACCGGCUAACUACGUG
This 468-nucleotide ribosomal RNA is filed under the name uncultured bacterium. Its description in RNAcentral is "partial 16S ribosomal RNA". It matches the Rfam family "Bacterial small subunit ribosomal RNA", at positions 28 to 507 of the family's 1533-position model. The record is from RNAcentral.